AGUGAACGCUGGCGGUAGGCCUAACACAUGCAAGUCGAACGGCAGCACAGUAAGAGCUUGCUCUUACGGGUGGCGAGUGGCGGACGGGUGAGGAAUACAUCGGAAUCUACUUUUUCGUGGGGGAUAACGUAGGGAAACUUACGCUAAUACCGCAUCCGACCUACGGGUGAAAGCAGGGGAUCUUCGGACCUUGCGCGAUUGAAUGAGCCGAUGUCGGAUUAGCUAGUUGGCGGGGUAAAGGCCCACCAAGGCGACGAUCCGUAGCUGGUCUGAGAGGAUGAUCAGCCACACUGGAACGGGGCCACGGUCCAGACUCCUACGGGAGGCAGCAGUGGGGAAUAUUGGACAAUGGGCGCAAGCCUGAUCCAGCCAUACCGCGUGGGUGAAGAAGGCCUUCGGGUUGUAAAGCCCUUUUGUUGGGAAAGAAAAGCAGCAGGUUAAUACCCCGCUGUUCUGACGGUACCCAAAGAAUAAGCACCGGCUAACUUCGUG
RNAcentral lists this ribosomal RNA (492 nucleotides) under uncultured bacterium. Its description in RNAcentral is "partial 16S ribosomal RNA". It matches the Rfam family "Bacterial small subunit ribosomal RNA", at positions 29 to 507 of the family's 1533-position model. The record is from RNAcentral.